RNAcentral lists this ribosomal RNA (253 nucleotides) under uncultured bacterium. RNAcentral's name for it is "partial 16S ribosomal RNA". It matches the Rfam family "Bacterial small subunit ribosomal RNA", at positions 524 to 776 of the family's 1533-position model. The record is from RNAcentral.
GACAGAGGGGGCAAGCGUUGCUCGGAAUCACUGGGCGUAAAGGGCGCGUAGGCGGGAUGGCAAGUCAGUCGUGAAAUCUCUCGGCUCAACCGAGAAACGUCGGCUGAUACUGCCGUUCUUGAGGGAUGCAGAGGAGACUGGAAUUCCCGGUGUAGCGGUGAAAUGUGUAGAGAUCGGGAGGAACACCGGUGGCGAAGGCGGGUCUCUGGGCAUUUCCUGACGCUGAGGAGCGAAAGCAUGGGGAGCGAACAGG